AAAGUCGUAACAAGGUUUCCGUAGGUGAACCUGCGGAAGGAUCAUUAUCAUAACAGAAAGUUGCUGGUUUCGACCGGUAAACAUUCUUUACACCCUUUGUGGACCAAAAAACUUUAGCUUCGGUAGCGAGCCGGUCACCUUUCUUUAGGUGCCGCGCUGUCAGCCUACCGGUAGCACCCAACCAAACUUUUUUUUAAACUAUGUCUGAAUAAAAUCAUUUACGAAUGAAAUUAAAACUUUCAACAACGGAUCUCUUGGUUCUC
Molecule: unclassified non-coding RNA, 263 nt
Filed under: Ascomycota sp.
Lineage: Eukaryota; Fungi; Ascomycota
Description: partial contains small subunit ribosomal RNA, internal transcribed spacer 1, and 5.8S ribosomal RNA
Rfam family: Eukaryotic small subunit ribosomal RNA (bases 1-47)
Source: RNAcentral